CCGCUCCCACCAGGAUCCAACCAUGGCGGCCGCCUCUCCCCUGCUUCAAGCAUGGUGGCCGUCUCCCCCUGCUUCAACCGCAACGGCCCUCCCUCCAUGCGCUCCGCCAACCGCCACCGUCGCCUUGAUCCGACCAACCACCGCGGCCCACCGUCUUGCCUUCCUCGGGGUGCCCCGCCCACCCUUCAUAUGAGGGCCGGUGCCCGUGGUCGUUUCCUGGAUCCCGGCGACCACAUCCAUCCACCACGCACUGCCACAGAGGACCUGCGCUCAAAUCCCUCCUCCGCAGUGGUGUUCGAACCGCAGCAUGGGGUACCGUUGACCUUCCACCGGAGGCCGCUUUGACCUCACUGGAAGCCACUCCCUCUCCACGCGCACGAUCGGUCCCGCCUCCUCCCGGCGCGCCACCGCCCUGACUCCUCCCUGCGUGCCGCCUCUCGACGCGCCGCCACCUCUCGUCCUCCCGGUGCGAGGCCACCGUACCCACCUCCUCCUGGCGCGCCGUCGCCUAGCCUCCUUCCGGCGCGAGGCUUGCCAUCUCCUUCAGGGCGAGGUGGGUUUGGACUUCAGCCCCUCCUGCUCCUCCCGGGCACCGCCGUGCGUUCCCACCCAGAACCCCGCUUGCUCCAGUGCACCGCUGCUGGUCCCUGCCCUGCACCCCCUCCUCCCAUGCGCAGCUGCGCGUCCCGCCCUGAACCUUGCCUCCUCCCAGCCGGCUCAGCCCUGCCCUGCACCCUGCCUAUGCUUUAUGUCCACGGCUAACUAUUUGAUGUUUGUCUAUCACUAGGUGUACCAUGGAGACUACUGCGGCCGUUUGAAAUACUAGCAGGCGCCGUGCUAGCCAGCUGCAGGUCACGGUCUCCUCGAGUUGCAUGUCGUCUAAAUCUGGAGUUCUGGACUGUUUGAUCUACCGGGUUGGCCUGCACCGACCGUCGAAGGCUACCGAGGUGGUGCCCCACUGCUGCCUGCAUCUCCCCGCUCUUUAGGUUCAGAAAAGUUCAUCUUGGCGUGGGGCGAAAGUUCAGCUGGUGGAGCACUGACAACAACAACGUUUUACUGUGUUGUGUAGCCUACGGCUGCAGCUCCAUUUUCCUCCUGAGACUGUUUUAAUUCUUGUGUUUCUUCUACUGCCAACAGAGAAAAAUAGCCAGCACCGAGCUACUACUGUUUGUUUUGCUUGAACAACCAAUUUAGGCAUUACCAGGAAGAAGACAAAGCAAGAAAAUUAUGGAGUGAAAGAGAUAAAAGAGUAGUGUGCCUACAUGGUGUGGAUAUGAAACAUGCUGUGUGUGAGAGGAUAAGGAAUGUGUGUUACUAUUCAGUGAUAAAAACAAUUUGUGGUUCAAAGAAAAA
Molecule: long non-coding RNA, 1353 nt
Organism: Triticum aestivum (bread wheat)
Lineage: Eukaryota; Viridiplantae; Streptophyta; Magnoliopsida; Poales; Poaceae
Exons: 2
Source: RefSeq, a predicted model, not a curated record